GCAGAAUGUCUGUCUUUCUCCUUCUGAUUUCUUAAGUGCCAGAAAGCUCUGUGUCUUAGUGCAUGUUCUAUAAUUCAAAAUAACAAAUUGGUAUGUUGCUAUUGGGCUUAAAAUGCUUUACAAUUGCUUAGUGCUUUGUUGUUUAGCAUGAGGCAGAGGUGUCCCUUUCUUUCUUUCUUUCUCUCCCUCCCUCUCUCUCUCUCUCUCUCUCUCUCUCUUUCUUUCUUUUUAGCUAACAUCAAACAAGCAGCCAGAAACUUCAUUUCAGAUGGAAAUCUCAGUAAAGGCUCAGAAGGGGAAAGCAAAUACAGUAAGAAUGCAGCAUUUUGUGGUUUACAUUUUUUCCUCUAGAGGGUAUACAUCAGAUUCACAUGCCCACACAUCCUCUCCUGUCAAAUCAGCUUUGCACGUAAUUUCUGUGACUUUUGGUGCCAACUGAACACAACACUGGUCUGAAGCUUUAAAAAAAAUAGAAUCAAAAUUCCCUAGCCUGAAAUUCCCUUCUGAAAUUUUGCAGGUUAGUUUCCUAAGUGCACUUCUAUGAUUUAUACAAUUUUCAUACUAUUGAAAAUUGUAUAAAUCAUACAAUCUUUUCUUUCUUCCAUUUAAGUCUUUUCUUUCUUCCAUUUAAGAUUUAAAAUCAAUCUUAAAAGCACCUAGCACAAAAUAACCUGUAUCUAUCAUUCUAAAGUUUGUCAGCUUUCUGACUGAGGGUCACCUCUGUUUUCAUAAAAAAUCAACUGUAAAAAAAGGGGGGAUAUUAAGUGAAUUUUUUUACCUUCUAAAAUAUGAAAAUAUUGUCCUUGCAUGAACACCCAUUCACCUCCUCUAAAUGGGCUACCAUGCCUGUAAAUGUCACCCAGUUUGCCAAAAUUUAAAGGAAGUUAUAGACUAUUCCAUUUGUUAAAAAAUCAGUAUGUCCAAAACAAAACCCUGGACCUAUUUGUCUGGAAUCUACCAUGUUUUGUCCACUAAGGAGUAGCUGCCUUGUCUGCAAAUUUCAUCUAAUUUUGCCCAAAAAAAUAGCUUUAAAACAACAACAGCAACCCCAUAGCAGUGAUUAGGGAGACAUGAAGCUUUGGUUUCCUAAAUCAGGAUUUGGAUUUGGACCUAAGAUGAAUUGGUCAGUCUCCACAUCAGUCCAAGCUGAAUCAGACAGUGGUUUAAGAAAGAAAGAAAGAAAGAAAGAAAGAAAGAAAGAAAGAAAGAAAGAAAUUGGGCAGGUUUUUUAAAUGAUUAAUCAGGAUCCAAACUGAAUCAUGUGGUCAGUUCAAACUCCUAAUUUUCACAUGUCCCAGAUAUGUGACUGAAUACUGUGUGUGUGUGUGUGUGUGUGAAUAAAUAGUAGGAGUCUUAACUUACAUGGCUGAGGUUUAGAUCAGCCUCUUCCUGCCACACCACAGCCAGAGAUUUUAACAAAUCUCCUCAACAGAAUAUUAUCACUGUGCCUGAAAGAUGCACAUUGUGAUGCCAUGUUCCUUCUCCACAAAGCCAUUGUUAUGAGUUUUCUACCAUAUUUUUCUGAAUAGGAAUCUCACUGUGGGUUUCCUUAAGUCAGAGGUGGAAAAUGUUUUUCUUUUCAGUGAUUCAUCGGUGGGCAGGGGGGAAUCAAUCAGGAUGCCCCCAUGGUUAUUCCCCCCCCCCCCCGUGGAUCAAUGGCCCAUAGGAUGCCUUUGAAAGAGCAGAUUGGAUUGGCUGGUGGGAAGGAGGUUGCCUGAGGAGAGCUUUGGAGAUACAUAUCAUGCCAGCUGACAGCCAAUCUAGUCCACUGUUUGGAGAAAUAGGGGUGAACUUAAUACUCUUAUUGAUCUGCUUGAGAAUCCUGGAGCACAGAUUAUCUUCUCCAGUCAAUACUCAACACUAACAAUGAAGAUAGACUCAGAAAGCUGAUGCUGCAGCAAAUGUAAGUAGUAAUAUCCAAGUCUAUAUCCAAAGAACUGCUCUUAUUCUUUCGAUAUCCUAAGUACUAUUGCUUUUCUGCCUCAUGUAUAGCAAAAAAGACCUCUCACAUGUUUUGCUCUCCCAGCUCUCCCACCAUUCAGCAAAUCUUCUCUUACAUUGGAAUGGAAGACCUCCAGUUCAUGGUUCAAAUUUGGCCUAGAAAGCCACCACCCCCAAACCACAUCCACCUGCCGCACUCCUGACAUCAAAUAUGAGGUGGGUAAAGAUGUGACUGGAUUGGCUGUGUGAACAAGUCCCACAAGUUCCACACAGCCUAUCUCUGCGAAGGUAGGCUUGAAGUCCCCACCCUUUUAGACUGACUCCACCAACCCUAAUCUGCUCUUAUCCAAAAAGGACUUUGUCCACGCUUUCUGGGCUACAGGAAAAUCAUCUGCUGUCUAAACGCCCCACUAAAUGCCACUUUGCUUUCAUCAUCUUAUCCAGAACAGAAAGCAUAAACAGAUUGGUUGUAAUCUUGUUACUUUACUCUUGCUCUUUAUUAGCCAAAAUCAGGCCAACAUCCUUUUGAAGCCUGUCCAAAAUGGAUUGUAUCUCUGCCUAGUGGGAAGGACCAUUAACAAUGUCAUCCCUUGCUUAUAAAUGUGCUGGGGAAAGUUUAUUCACUGGCAGGCUGCGUUAUUGGCAAGAAGGCAGCAGUUAGCAUUAGGGAAACAGCCAAGAAAGGUCAUACAUUAAGAAAAAUACACACUAAACUCUGGAUAGUCUUUUUGUGCAUUCUAGGGAACAUGGGCAUAAUGAGAACAAUGUCACCCCUCCUACCUCCUGAACAUAAGCUGUCUAUUAAAGUACAAUUAGCCUUCAUCCAAUGUGUGGGGAGCAAGAAUAAUACAUAGGGUUGCCAUACAUCCUCUUUUUCUAGGACACGUCCUCUUUUUCAGUAGUAAAAUUUCUGUCUGGGUGGAUUUCUCGAAUUUACCAAAAUGUCCAGGGGGGUUUCUUUGGUACCCAAUUUUUCCCUCCCUGGUGCCCUCCCAUGUCACUCCAGUGUGAAAUGAAGGAACUGCAGAGGAAGGUGCAGAGUAUUUCUUUGCAUUGUAAGACUGUCUAUUUUGUAAGUGUCAGAAAUAUACCAUAAAAGUGAUGCUGGCAUAUGUCUGAUCAGUGGGGAAUGCUAGACAGGGUUAGUUUUGUGGGGAGAAGAGUGUUUCUUGGUUCCAUCUCUCCCAUGGAAUGCUUUUAACUUUGCUUGACAGUUCUGUUAAACUAAACAAAUUUGUUAUAUUUUACUUUGUUAGUUCACUCUUUUUGCUGGGGGCAUAAUAUGGACAAUAAUUGGUGGACCUGUUUAUCAGAUGGGUGUCAGGAAUAUUAAGAAGCUACCAAGAGCUGGACUCAAUAACAGUCAGAUCCCUUCCAUCCCAACAAUUCCCUUCCUCUUGCAGCAGUAUUGAAUUAUUGGGUUUUUAAAGAUGGGAGGGGGGAUAUUUCCAAGGGGUAAUAAAGUAGAGAAAACAAAUGUUGGAAAAGUGUAUAUGAUGAGAACUUUGUGUCUUCAAAAGCACUGAUGCUUCUUUGCCAAAAGCUUAUGUCAAAUAUAUAACAGGGGCUGUUCUUCACAGUUUAAGCAGCUUUUAAUGUUAAAUGAAAGUUUGCCCUUAGUAAUAAAAUGCCACCAGUGCAAAUAGAAAUGAAAGGAAUAGUUGUGGCCUCCCGAAGAAGCUCCUUUAUUAUGAAAAUUGUGAAGAGUAAAAUGAAAAAGAUUUUUGAUCUAAAAAACAGAGAUCGCAGCCCCUGCUCAGCUGGAAGUUGCCGGGGGUGAUAGGGAAGUCAUGCUGGCCCAAUGAAACCUACCUCGUAGGACUUGGUAUGUUCUGGGUUAUGACUUCCUGUGAUGUUAUUGUUCACUAUUCUUUCAUUUUAUGAAUGCAUGCUUACAUGUACAAAAUUUAAUAAAAAGGGAGGGAUCCACCCUAACUGCUGUUAAGUUUUAGAACACUAAUGGUUGGUUUGGAUUGUCACUUUCUUUUGAAAAGAAUUCGUAUUACACUCUUUAUUGCAAUGUCAUACUGAAUUGUUAUGUAUUUUGCUGUUGUAUCGUGAGGUGCUAUAUGAGAAAGUGGUGUACAAAUGGAA
Molecule: long non-coding RNA, 4035 nt
Filed under: Podarcis lilfordi (Lilford's wall lizard)
Lineage: Eukaryota; Metazoa; Chordata; Lepidosauria; Squamata; Lacertidae
Source: RNAcentral